This 2176-nucleotide ribosomal RNA is filed under the name Streptomyces acidiscabies. Its description in RNAcentral is "bacterial LSU rRNA". It matches the Rfam family "Bacterial large subunit ribosomal RNA", at positions 886 to 2925 of the family's 2925-position model. The record is from RNAcentral. Lineage: Bacteria; Bacillati; Actinomycetota; Actinomycetes; Kitasatosporales; Streptomycetaceae.
GUGUUUCUUGCCGGAGGUAGAGCACUGGAUAGGCGAUGGGCCCUACCGGGUUACUGACCUUAGCCAAACUCCGAAUGCCGGUAAGUGAGAGCGCGGCAGUGAGACUGUGGGGGAUAAGCUCCAUGGUCGAGAGGGAAACAGCCCAGAGCAUCGACUAAGGCCCCUAAGCGUACGCUAAGUGGGAAAGGAUGUGGAGUCGCAGAGACAACCAGGAGGUUGGCUUAGAAGCAGCCACCCUUGAAAGAGUGCGUAAUAGCUCACUGGUCUAGUGAUUCCGCGCCGACAAUGUAGCGGGGCUCAAGCGUACCGCCGAAGUCGUGUCAUUGCAGCAUAUAGGGCCAACGCCUGCUGUGAUGGGUAGGGGAGCGUCGUGUGCCGGGUGAAGCUGCGCCGGAAGGCAGUGGUGGACGGUUCACGAGUGAGAAUGCAGGCAUGAGUAGCGAUUCACACGUGGGAAACGUGUGCGCCGAUUGACUAAGGGUUCCUGGGUCAAGCUGAUCUGCCCAGGGUAAGUCGGGACCUAAGGCGAGGCCGACAGGCGUAGUCGAUGGAUAACCGGUUGAUAUUCCGGUACCCGCUGUGAAGCGUCAAACAUUGAAUCCAGUGAUGCUAAGGCCGUGAAGCCGUUCCGGACCCUUCGGGGAAAGGAAAGUGGUGGAGCCGCUGAACCGAUCUGGUAGUAGGUGAGUGAUGGGGUGACGCAGGAAGGUAGUCCAGCCCGGGCGAUGGUAGUCCCGGGGUAAGGGUGUAGGGCGUUGUCUAGGCAAAUCCGGACAACAUGAGCCUGAGACCUGAUGCCGAGCCGAUUGUGGUGAAGUGGAUGAUCCUAUGCUGUCGAGAAAAGCCUCUAGCGAGUUUCAUGGCGGCCCGUACCCUAAACCGACUCAGGUGGUCAGGUAGAGAAUACCGAGGCGUUCGGGUGAACUAUGGUUAAGGAACUCGGCAAAAUGCCCCCGUAACUUCGGGAGAAGGGGGGCCAUCACUGGUGAGAGGACUUGCUCCUUGAGCUGGGGGUGGCCGCAGAGACCAGCGAGAAGCGACUGUUUACUAAAAACACAGGUCCGUGCGAAGCCGUAAGGCGAUGUAUACGGACUGACGCCUGCCCGGUGCUGGAACGUUAAGGGGACCGGUUAGUCACAUUUCGGUGUGGCGAAGCUGAGAACUUAAGCGCCAGUAAACGGCGGUGGUAACUAUAACCAUCCUAAGGUAGCGAAAUUCCUUGUCGGGUAAGUUCCGACCUGCACGAAUGGCGUAACGACUUCUCGACUGUCUCAACCAUAGGCCCGGUGAAAUUGCACUACGAGUAAAGAUGCUCGUUUCGCGCAGCAGGACGGAAAGACCCCGGGACCUUUACUACAGUUUGAUAUUGGUGUUCGGUUCGGCUUGUGUAGGAUAGCUGGGAGACUUUGAAGCGGCCACGCCAGUGGUUGUGGAGUCGUCGUUGAAAUACCAGUCUGGUCGUGCUGGAUGUCUAACCUGGGUCCGUGAUCCGGAUCAGGGACAGUGUCUGAUGGGUAGUUUAACUGGGGCGGUUGCCUCCUAAAGAGUAACGGAGGCGCCCAAAGGUUCCCUCAGCCUGGUUGGUAAUCAGGUGUUGAGUGUAAGUGCACAAGGGAGCUUGACUGUGAGACCGACGGGUCGAGCAGGGACGAAAGUCGGGACUAGUGAUCCGGCGGUGGCUUGUGGAAGCGCCGUCGCUCAACGGAUAAAAGGUACCCCGGGGAUAACAGGCUGAUCUUCCCCAAGAGUCCAUAUCGACGGGAUGGUUUGGCACCUCGAUGUCGGCUCGUCGCAUCCUGGGGCUGGAGUCGGUCCCAAGGGUUGGGCUGUUCGCCCAUUAAAGCGGUACGCGAGCUGGGUUUAGAACGUCGUGAGACAGUUCGGUCCCUAUCCGCUGCGCGCGCAGGAACAUUGAGAAGGGCUGUCCCUAGUACGAGAGGACCGGGACGGACGAACCUCUGGUGUGCCAGUUGUUCUGCCAAGGGCAUGGCUGGUUGGCUACGUUCGGGAGGGAUAACCGCUGAAAGCAUCUAAGCGGGAAGCCUGCUUCGAGAUGAGUGUUCCCACCUCCUUGAGAGGGUAAGGCUCCCAGUAGACGACUGGGUUGAUAGGCCAGAUCUGGAAGCACCGUAAGGUGUGGAGGUGACUGGUACUAAUAGGCCGAGGGCUUGUCCUC